RNAcentral lists this ribosomal RNA (1399 nucleotides) under uncultured organism. RNAcentral describes it as "16S ribosomal RNA". It matches the Rfam family "Bacterial small subunit ribosomal RNA". The record is from RNAcentral.
AACACAUGCAAGUCGGAUGCAAUCAUCAACGUCGGUUGGUGAGUAACAUGGCAGACGGGUGAUGAGCACGUACCGUGACCUGAGACACGGAGGGGGAUAGUCCCCCGAAAGGGGGUUGAAUACCGCAUACGCUCGUCAAUGCAGCUUGAUGAUGAGAGGUGGCCUCUGCAUGCACGCUAUCGCCGUGUGAGAGGGGGUGCGUCCUAUUAGCUGGCUGGUGUGGUAAUGGCCUACCAGGGCGACGAUUGUUCGCUGGUCUGAGAGGAUGAUCAGGCACACUGGUACUGAGACACGGCCCAGACUCCUACGGGAGGCAGCACUGGGGAAUUUCGCGCAAUGGGGGGAACCCUGACGCAAUAACGCCGGGUGACUGACGACGCCUUUCGCGGUGUUAAGCUCUGUGAAGCGGGACAAAGGCUCCGGGUGAAUAACCUGCGAUGGUGACGGUACCGCCAUAGCAAGCCCCGGCUAACUCCGUGCCAUCAGCCGUGGUAAGACGGAUGGGGCGAUCGUUGUUCGGAAUUACUGGGCGUAAAGCGCCCGCACGCGGUGACGUGAGUGUCUCGUGAAAGCCCCCGGGUCAACCGGGGACGGGCGAAGCACACUGCGUGACUUGAGUGCUGGAGGGGGAGGCGGAAUUCCUGGUGGAGCGGUGAAAUGCGUAGAGAUCAGGAAGAACGUCAAUGGCGAAGGCGGCCUCCUGGACAGACACUGACGCUGAGGGGCGAGAGCGUGGGGAGCGAACGGGAUUAGAUACCCCGGUAGUCCACGCCGUAAGCGCUGGGCACUAGGUGUUGGGGUUGGAGAUCACUUCCGUGCCGGAGCUAACGCAGUAAGUGCCCCGCCUGGGGAGUACGGUCGCAAGGCUGAAACUCAAAGGAAUUGACGGGGGCCCGCACAAGCGGUGGAGCAUGUGGUUUAAUUUGACGCAACGCGCAGAACCUUACCUGGGUUUGACAUGGCACUGCGAUGCCCUGCGAGGGGCAGUUCCUUCGGGACGGUGUCACAGGUGCUGCAUGGCUGUCGUCGGCUCGUGUCGUGAGAUGUUGGGUUAAGUCCCGCAACGAGCGCAACCCUUGCCCUUCGUUACCAGCAGGUGAGACUGGGGACUCGAGGGGGACUGCCGAUGUCAAGCCGGAGGAAGGUGGGGAUGACGUCAAGUCCUCAUGCCCAUGACGCCCAGGGCUACACACGUGCUACAAUGGAGCGGACAACGGGGAGCGACCCUGCGAGGGGGAGCCAAUCCCUGAACCGGUUCUGAGUGCGGAUUGGAGUUUGCAACUCGACUCCAUGAAGCUGGAAUCGCUAGUAAUCACGGAUCAGCAUGCCACGGUGAUACGUCCCCGGGCAUUGUACACACCGCCCGUCACACCACGAAGCUUGAGUGUACCCGAAGUCG